UAGCAUAUCAAUAAGCGGAGGAAAAGAAACCAACAGGGAUUGCCCUAGUAACGGCGAGUGAAGCGGCAACAGCUCAAAUUUGAAAUCUGGCCUCGGCCCGAGUUGUAAUUUGCAGAGGAAGCUUUAGGCGCGGCACCUUCUGAGUCCCCUGGAACGGGGCGCCAUAGAGGGUGAGAGCCCCGUAUAGUUGGAUGCCUAGCCUGUGUAAAGCUCCUUCGACGAGUCGAGUAGUUUGGGAAUGCUGCUCAAAAUGGGAGGUAAAUUUCUUCUAAAGCUAAAUACCGGCCAGAGACCGAUAGCGCACAAGUAGAGUGAUCGAAAGAUGAAAAGCACUUUGAAAAGAGGGUUAAAUAGCACGUGAAAUUGUUGAAAGGGAAGCGCUUGUGACCAGACUUGCGCCGGGCUGAUCAUCCGGUGUUCUCACCGGUGCACUCUGCCCGGCUCAGGCCAGCAUCGGUUCUCGCGGGGGGAUAAAGGCCCAGGGAACGUAGCUCCUCCGGGAGUGUUAUAGCCCUGGGUGCAAUGCCCUCGCGGGGACCGAGGUUCGCGCAUCUGCAAGGAUGCUGGCGUAAUGGUCACCAGCGACCCGUCUUGAAACACGGACCAAGGAGUCAAGGUUUUGCGCGAGUGUUUGGGUGUAAAACCCGCACGCGUAAUGAAAGUGAACGUAGGUGAGAGCUUCGGCGCAUCAUCGACCGAUCCUGAUGUUUUCGGAUGGAUUUGAGUAGGAGCGUUAAGCCUUGGACCCGAAAGAUGGUGAACUAUGCUUGGAUAGGGUGAAGCCAGAGGAAACUCUGGUGGAGGCUCGCAGCGGUUCUGACGUGCAAAUCGAUCGUCAAAUCUGAGCAUGGGGGGCGAAAGACUAAUCGAACCAUCUAGUAGCUGGUUACCGCC
This 894-nucleotide ribosomal RNA is filed under the name Arcopilus cupreus. RNAcentral's name for it is "LSU rRNA". It matches the Rfam family "Eukaryotic large subunit ribosomal RNA", at positions 36 to 962 of the family's 3401-position model. The record is from RNAcentral. Lineage: Eukaryota; Fungi; Ascomycota; Sordariomycetes; Sordariales; Chaetomiaceae.